GGAUGAGACUGAUGAUGGAACCGUCUGACACGCCGCCCCCCGCCGGCGCCGACGGUGCCUCCAAGGUCGUAACUCCUGCUCAUCUCUCUCCUCGUCGUCACCUACCUCUCUCUGGCACUCACUCACUCAAUCUUGCGCCUGAUUUGCUUC
RNAcentral lists this small nucleolar RNA (150 nucleotides) under Oryza longistaminata (longstamen rice). RNAcentral describes it as "snoRNA snoZ178". It matches the Rfam family "Small nucleolar RNA Z178". Rfam says of the family: Z178 is a member of the C/D class of snoRNA which contain the C (UGAUGA) and D (CUGA) box motifs. Most of the members of the box C/D family function in directing site-specific 2'-O-methylation of substrate RNAs. The record is from RNAcentral. Lineage: Eukaryota; Viridiplantae; Streptophyta; Magnoliopsida; Poales; Poaceae.